Picea glauca (white spruce) is the source of this 122-nucleotide non-coding RNA. Lineage: Eukaryota; Viridiplantae; Streptophyta; Pinopsida; Pinales; Pinaceae. The record is from Rfam.
ACAUGCCUACAACAUAGAGUUAAUGCACCAAAUCCCAUUAUAACUUUGCAGUUAAGCGCGCUCAGGCUAGAGUAGUAUUGGGAUGGGUGACUUCCCGGGAAGUCCUAGUGUUAUUACAUGCC